RNAcentral lists this ribosomal RNA (814 nucleotides) under Neomackenziella juncicola. RNAcentral describes it as "partial large subunit ribosomal RNA". It matches the Rfam family "Eukaryotic large subunit ribosomal RNA", at positions 73 to 921 of the family's 3401-position model. Lineage: Eukaryota; Fungi; Ascomycota; Dothideomycetes; Asterinales. The record is from RNAcentral.
GAUUGCCUCAGUAACGGCGAGUGAAGCGGCAACAGCUCAAAUUUGAAAUCUGGCGCAAGCCCGAGUUGUAAUUUGCAGAGGAUGCUUCGGGGCGGCUCUCGGCCCAAGUUCCUUGGAACAGGACGUCGCAGAGGGUGAGAAUCCCGUACGCGGCCCGGCGCCAACCCGUGUGAAGCUCCUUCGACGAGUCGAGUUGUUUGGGAAUGCAGCUCUAAAUGGGAGGUAAAUUUCUUCUAAGGCUAAAUACCGGCCAGAGACCGAUAGCGCACAAGUAGAGUGAUCGAAAGAUGAAAAGCACUUUGGAAAGAGAGUUAAACAGUACGUGAAAUUGUUGAAAGGGAAGCGUUUGCAGCCAGACUCGACGACGUUGCUCAGCCGGUCUUUGCCCGGUGCACUCUUCGUUCGUCGGGCCAGCAUCAGUUUGGGCGGCCGGAUAAAGGCCCGGGGAACGUGGCUCCUCUGGAGUGUUAUAGCCCCGGGCACAAUGCGGCCCGCCCGGACUGAGGACGGCGUCCGCUCGGAUGCUGGCGUAAUGGCGGCCAACGGCCCGUCUUGAAACACGGACCAAGGAGUCUAACAUCUAUGCGAGUGUCUGGGUGUCAAACCCGCACGCGUAAUGAAAGUGAACGGAGGUGGGAACUUUUUGCGCACCAUCGACCGAUCCUGAUGUCUUCGGAAGGAUUUGAGUAAGAGCAUAGCUGUUGGGACCCGAAAGAUGGUGAACUAUGCCUGGAUAGGGUGAAGCCAGAGGAAACUCUGGUGGAGGCUCGCAGCGGUUCUGACGUGCAAAUCGAUCGUCAAAUUUGGGUAUAGG